GUGUCUUCAUAGAAGUAUAUAAAUUGGUCUGCAACAGGUGUAGAUCAAUCACCCACCUACUUCUCAAACCACCUUUUGAGUAAUCCAUGAAUGAAUCUAACAGAUAGUCAACAUCGACCAUGAAAUAUAAGAAACUACGAGCGCUACCAACUAAACGUAUUACAAAAAAGAAGGCAGUGCUUAAUCCAAUGAAAAAUAUUAUGAAAACGACUGUUUUGUGCGUAAGGUUAGAAAGCUGUCAUAAACUUUGGUCUUUAAGAAUGGAUUUCAAUUGUGUCAAGUACUUUAAGUUACAUCGAUAUUUCUUAUAGUAUAAGAUGAAGAAAUUACAUAGAAGAAACUCUGAGCGCUACUGAUUCUACUGAAGGAUGUAACAUUCUACAAAUUCCAUGCAAGGUAAAAUGAGGGGCAGGGUCAUUUGUUUCCUUUAUGAUGUAUAUUAGCAUAAAAUUUUAAACCAUAACCACAGAAUAGUUUCCAUGUUUCACCAAACUCGGGAACUACAUCUUCACAUUUGGUCAGCACAAAAUCAAGCCUAGCAAGUCUGGGUGCUGCAUGCUGUUCACCUUCCUUAAUUCCCAUCACAAACCCAAGAAAAGAAAAUCUCAAGAAAUAGUCCAGGCUACCUUGUUGCAGCCACCAAAUUCGAAUAAAGUUUCAGAUUAAUCUCCCAUAAUUCUCCAAAUUUCACAGGCAUCAGCACAACAAAACUGAACAACGGAAAAAAAAAGGCAGAGAUAAAGAGCUUUGAGAGAUACCGCGAAAACGAUGCCAAAAGCCCACAAAUACUGAACAAGGAAACCGAGAACAUCCCACUUAGGACCUUCCCAUAAAUCCGGCUGAAGGCCCGGAAGAUCCGGGAACGGCUUACCAUCAGCCGAAAUCUCAGACGAACUCCCACCAACGUCCUCUAAUCCAACUCCAACAGCAAUGUUUGAUUCUUCAAUCUCCCCCGUCCGUUUGAGCUCCUGUUCCUCGUCUUGUUCUUUUGUCGUGAGAU
Molecule: long non-coding RNA, 1000 nt
Organism: Gossypium arboreum
Lineage: Eukaryota; Viridiplantae; Streptophyta; Magnoliopsida; Malvales; Malvaceae
Exons: 2
Source: RefSeq, a predicted model, not a curated record